RNAcentral lists this long non-coding RNA (378 nucleotides) under Numida meleagris (helmeted guineafowl). RNAcentral describes it as "lncRNA (ENSNMEG00000016875.1)". The record is from RNAcentral. Lineage: Eukaryota; Metazoa; Chordata; Aves; Galliformes; Numididae.
UUGUCAUAGGUUGAUAAAAAUACCCCUCUCUGAUCCUGCAGGCAACUUUUUCUGCCAAUUUUCUUUCCAGGGAGGAAGAGAAGAGGAAAUAUAAUUGAAAGAACACUGCCGCAUAGAAAAUGACACUGACGGAGGAAUGCACUUUGGAACGAUGGCUCCGACGGUUCCCUCGUAUGGAUUUUUACCCUAGUGGAGCUUGUAGUUCUCGUAACAGAAAUCAAAGACUGUAAGUGUAUCCUGCCUGGACUGCUCAUAUUGCUGGUGACAAGUGAUGCUAAAGUGACUGCACUGUCAGCUACUGGAAGCCUCGGGCGACGUGCAGCAGGGCUACAUACAGGGCUGGUUGCCUUAACUUCUUUUGACAUUUCUUCUCUCUGA